This 497-nucleotide ribosomal RNA is filed under the name uncultured bacterium. RNAcentral describes it as "partial 16S ribosomal RNA". It matches the Rfam family "Bacterial small subunit ribosomal RNA", at positions 28 to 507 of the family's 1533-position model. The record is from RNAcentral.
GAUGAACGCUGGCGGCGUGCCUAAUACAUGCAAGUCGAGCGAACGGACGAGAAGCUUGCUUCUCUGAUGUUAGCGGCGGACGGGUGAGUAACACGUGGAUAACCUACCUAUAAGACUGGGAUAACUUCGGGAAACCGUAGCUAAUACCGGAUAAUAUUUUGAACCGCAUGGUUCAAAAGUGAAAGACGGUCUUGCUGUCACUUAUAGAUGGAUCCGCGCUGCAUUAGCUAGUUGGUAAGGUAACGGCUUACCAAGGCAACGAUGCAUAGCCGACCUGAGAGGGUGAUCGGCCACACUGGAACUGAGACACGGUCCAGACUCCUACGGGAAGCAGCAGUAGGGAAUCUUCCGCAAUGGGCGAAAGCCUGACGGAGCAACACCGCGUGAGUGAUGAAGGUCUUCGGAUCGUAAAACUCUGUUAUUAGGGAAGAACAUAUGUGUAAGUAACUGUGCACAUCUUGACGGUACCUAAACAGAAAGCCACGGCUAACUACGUG